AACGAACGCUGGCGGCAGGCUUAACACAUGCAAGUCGAGCGCCCCGCAAGGGGAGCGGCAGACGGGUGAGUAACGCGUGGGAAUCUACCCAUCUCUACGGAAUAACGCAUGGAAACGUGUGCUAAUACCGUAUACGUCCUUCGGGAGAAAGAUUUAUCGGAGAUGGAUGAGCCCGCGUUGGAUUAGCUAGUUGGUGGGGUAAAGGCCUACCAAGGCGACGAUCCAUAGCUGGUCUGAGAGGAUGAUCAGCCACACUGGGACUGAGACACGGCCCAGACUCCUACGGGAGGCAGCAGUGGGGAAUAUUGGACAAUGGGCGCAAGCCUGAUCCAGCCAUGCCGCGUGAGUGAUGAAGGCCCUAGGGUUGUAAAGCUCUUUCACCGGUGAAGAUAAUGACGGUAACCGGAGAAGAAGCCACGGCUAACUACGUGCCAGCCGCCGCGGUAA
This 447-nucleotide ribosomal RNA is filed under the name uncultured bacterium. RNAcentral's name for it is "partial 16S ribosomal RNA". It matches the Rfam family "Bacterial small subunit ribosomal RNA", at positions 29 to 523 of the family's 1533-position model. RNAcentral also lists the same sequence under 1 other name. The record is from RNAcentral.